AGCAACAGAUUAUGUUCAAGCACGGAGUUUUCUUCACACUGGGACCAGCACCUCCGCGAUCGCUGCCAAUUUCUUCAUAGCGCCAUUUUUCUUCAGCUAGUUACCCCCAUGAGUCCAUGGUAGGGGAUUGACUGAGGGUUUUAUGUGAACUUUCCAAAAGAUGUGUGGAAUACAGUCUGAACUCCGACUCUCUGAACUUCAUGUGUUAAGCUUGUCUGGUCGGUACAGUACAAAUGAUGGCAUUGUUUUAUGGAGUCUGACAUAUAUGUCGCCGAUCAGGUUGAUUAUCUUGGAUCCAAAAACUGUGUCGCGAUGAACAGCUCUGCAUUAGCUGGGGUCUGAGGCCGGUAUCUGCUCGGUUGCCUCUGCAGGAAGAGAAGUAGAGAACCAAGGCGAGAAGAGGCUGCUUGCGGCGGCACCUGCGCCUGCACAGAGGUAACCGUCUGCGCAUUAACCGAACUUGCGUCGCUCACUCUGCCGGUGGUGUGCGCGCCAACCUCCAAAUGAGAAAAUGAAGAGAGAAAAGAAAUUUGUAAAAAGAAAAGAAAAAAGAAAAUUUCUUCAGAAUGCUACCUACAUUUCUGUUUGUUACAGUAUAACACCCCUCUUAUGCCUCCAAGUCCAUGCAUACUGAGCAUUUUUGGCCCAGCACAUGGUACUUGUAGGGUCUGUCUAGGACAGAGAACCACACAAGUCCGAAAAUUUUCAAGACAUCAUGAGUGAUUUAUUUUUAUUAUUUUCAUUGAAAAGGAAUGCAAAUGUCCAUACCCGGCUAGAAAAACAUGUAUGACUGGGAUUGCAGAGGGUACAAAUUCUAGGCUCGAGAUAAUCGGAAUUUUUUUACCCGACCCGAGUUUUGCUCAGAGUUCAUCACGCAUGAUGCCUGUCAAAAUUUUUUUUAUCUCUUUUGUGUUUUAGGUUCUGUUAUGCGGCAACGGGAAUGAAUUGAAGUUAGAGACUUUUCUAUUUCGAAGGUUUUUAUUUUUUCAAAAAAAGAUAGGUAGGUACCUAGGUCGAACCCCGAUCUCGAGGUGAAUCCUACGCGCGGCGCACAGACUCCUAGACCGCCAGCCAGCAGAGCCGCCACGGCACCGCGGACGGAAACAGAUCCUCGAUGACGUUGCCGCUGACGUGUGGGUCCGUCUAUCGUGACCCCACAUGUCAGCGGACCCAACCCGAUUUAACCCAGCCCAGGAUCUGAACCCUACUCCCCGACCCAUCAGGUUUGCGCCCGCGCGUCUCUGGUUCGUUCGGGCCUCCCGCUGCGGCCACCCUCCCCACCUCUCUCUCUCUCCUCCGCCCGCCGCCCCCGCGAGGGCGAAACCCUAGCUAGGGUUCUACCCGCCGCCACCGCCGCUGCCGUCGACCAGUACUGCGCGCUCUUACCCCGAGCUCGCCAUGGACGCCGCCGGCCGCAAGCGGGCCGCGCCGGAGGGCGCCAACGGCGCGGGCGGCCCCAAGCGCGCGAGAGGUGAGCGGCUUCCCGACCUCUCUCUCGAUUUGGUUGCUGCUCUACGGAAGGUUCCGCUCGGUACGGUUUUUAGCUGCUCGCCGUUGGUCGGAUCUGAGGUCCGCCGCUCGCGGCUUGGCUGCGAACUGCAGGGGUCCGUGGUUUUUGCUGCCGUUGCUGGAGGGAGGGAUCUGGGGUGUUUGGAGCUUGGAGUGGCCUAGAUUUGUUUGGAUUUUUCUUUUCGGUUGGUUUCGGGGGGAGCUGAAGGCUGCGCACCGUGUAGGAUUUAGCAGCAAUUUUGCUUCUACAAAUUUAUUAGGCGUGAAUAGUGCCGUAAUGGGUGUGCCAGAUUGCUUUUGCUACUGUGCUGUAUACAUGGAUCCUUUAGCCUUCGGUGUCUAGAACUUUUGAUGCUUCGUGCGCUAGCUAGAAUUGCUACAUGUAAUGCUUCCGGUGCUGUAAGCAAUUGCCAAAAAGGAAAUCAUUGGGGGCAUUGCUUGCAUACCGGACAAGCGGAAGUUAUAGCAGCAGCAUUGAUGUUCUUCCUUAACCUUUAAAUGUAGUGUCCUGUGUUUAUUUAAUGAAUUUAUUUAUUUAUUUAUUCGUAUUACUUUACCAAGCCAAAUAUAUCUAGUAAAGCAACACAUGAUUAAUUGGCGCAAGUAAUAAAUUUGGUGUAACAGAAGGCGAGACAACUCAAAUGGGUGUAGGAAGCAAAUCCAAGCCGUGCACCAAAUUUUUCAGGUUCUAAUCUAACCUAAAAUCAACUCCCACCUGGUAACAUCUAUUGUUAUUUUAUUAUUUGUUCCAUAAAUUAAAAUUUUGCUAUUUUGCUAAAUGUUUUGAUUGUGGCUAACAAAUGGUUCAACCAAGAUUCUGCUACAGGUUAUUUUUGUCUAAUCAUUGCUUAAGAACACUGAAUGGAGUAAAAUUUGGAACCUACUGCUGUAUAUCACUCUGAAAAUAUGAAUGAUGCAACAAUGGUUGUGAGGACAUGAAACUUACUCUCGGAUGAACAAUCAGUCAGUAGCACCAUGGAACAGGUUUAAUUGAAGAAAUCAAGAUAAGAAGAUUAAGAUUGAAUAUAUUGCUGGGGACUUGCUUUCUGCCAGUCACUUCUUCAAUUGCGGUUUCUUAUUAUUAUGAUGCAGGAGUGGUCAAACCACUAAUACACCUUCAAAGCUUGAUUAUCAAUGGCAUUUUAUACCAAACAUAACUUGCCAUAGAAUUUCUAGUAACAUCUACUUAUCUUUUUCAUUCAUUGGAUAUCAAUGUUAGGAAUCAUCUAGUAUAUUUGCAUUACUCAGCAUGUGACAUAAUCUCUUUCAUCAGCAUUGGCUGCAUUUGUGGAUCAUCAAUUCAUAUUGUAGUUCUUAGGUAUCAAAUAUAUUUGCAUAUUCAGUUGCUUAUAUGGUGUUUUCAUUAUGCAGCACUGCUGGCUGCCCCUUUGGUGCAAGUUGCCACUUUCUCCAUAACUUCCCUGGUGGUUACCAGGCUGUUGCAAAGAUGACCAACUUGGGUGGACCGCCUGUUCCGGCUCCUCCAGCGAGAAUGCCUAUGGGACAUGGUGCUCCUGAUGGCCCACCUUCACCUGCUGUGAAGACUCGCAUGUGUAACAAGUACAACACUGCAGAAGGAUGUAAAUGGGGGAGCAAAUGCCACUUUGCUCAUGGAGAGAGGGAGCUUGGAAAGCCCAUGCAGAUGGACAACUCAAUGGGAGCUCCUCCAAUGGGACCAGGGCCCAACGGUCACUUUAUGGCCCCGCCAAUGCCUGUCCCAGACAUGGUUCCUCCAUCAACAUUUGGUGCUUCAGCCACAGCCAAGAUCAGUGUUGAUGCAUCACUUGCUGGUGGUAUCAUUGGGAAGGGUGGUACCAACACAAAGCAUAUAUCCCGUGUGACUGGCGCCAAGCUAGCCAUCCGGGACAAUGAGGCUGAUCCCAACCUUAAAAACAUUGAGCUCGAGGGAACAUUCGACCAGAUCAAGCAUGCUAGCGCAAUGGUCACGGAUUUGAUUGUCCGCAUCAGUGGUAAGGCCCCUCCACAAGCCAAGAACAACCCAGGCAGGGGUCCUCACGCCGGGGGGGCUGGAAGCAACUUCAAGACCAAACUGUGCGAGAAUUUCAAUAAAGGCUCCUGCACGUUUGGUGAUAGGUGCCACUUUGCUCAUGGCGAAAGUGAGCUUCGCAAACCUGCUGCUGCCUGAUAGAUGUGCUUGUUGUUGCCAAUGGUGGUUAUUUUGCCUAUAGAUGGCUGAAUAACGCCAGAACUGAGGACAGUUGCCCAUUUUGUAAUGUGCUGCGCAAGCCUGAUUCUGAAUGAGAGAUUCUUACUGUGGCUUGUAUUGAUCGUGCCUGCUGUAACUGUGCAAUAGAGUUUCGGAAUGACCAUCCUCUAGGAUUGUAGGAUUACUGUAUUUGCUCUCUUUACCCCUGUCGCUCAUCCUAUUUUUGUACCUUUUGUUAGGCACUUUUUGCUGGCAUAUUAUUGUGAUUCUGUUGAGUUGAAGUUUCUUCUUUGAUAAUACCAGUAUGUGAAAAUUUAGUUCGUUUGAUUUACACAGCCAAAGUGGCAUUAUUGUGAUGUUCCGUAGCUGUUUUGCGAUUGAUCGUAGUUUGUUCCCGUCUGUUAUUGAUGUUACGUAGCUGUUUUGCCUCCUAUUCUGGAUCAGGUUUUAAAUGCCACAUGCUCGACGGAGAACUGUAGGAUUCUCACUAGACAGCACAAAUUGCUAUCAUCGAAUUCCUUAUGUUUAGAACAAGAGCACAAGCCCGCUACAGUCAUAGUUCCAAUUUCCAAGCUUCCAAGUUCAGGCCGCCCGGCCACCUGAAUCAGCUUUAGUUCAGAGCAAGAGCACCAGACUAAGCAAACUUUUCAACCAUCAUCAAACUAAGCAUUAGCGUUGCAACAGGCAUCUAACAUUAACUACAACUACCUCAGCUUAAAUACACCAGAAACUGGAGAGCAACUCCAAAAGGUGACAUACCCAACCAUUCCAAAAGCCCAACCCACGCCACGCCACCGUGCUUUCCCUAAGCGCAUAUAAGCUACGCUAAGUGAGCGUGGCUGCAUCUCUACCUAAACAUGUACAGCCAGGGUCAGGGCCAUCAGCCGUCCUGGAAGAGGCGCCUGCGCUUGUACGUCAGAUUGACCUCCUUCCUGUACUUGGCCACCAUCUUGUCUUCCAUGACUUCCUUCGCGCCUGUCGCUGCGCCCGUCUCGUCCUCCAUGACUUCCUUCGCGCCCAUGGCUGCUGGCAUCUCAUCUUCCACGACUUGCUGCGCACCUGUGGCUACCGUCCUGUUUGCCAUGAUUUCCUGCACCCCCGUUGCAACCGUCUCAUCUUGCGAGAUCAGGCCACGGUUCCUGCACCGCUUCCUGAUCGGUGCGCUUUGUGUGGGCACGGUCAGCUCAGGCUCAGGAUGACUGUUUCCUGCUGCGCCAGGUGCAUCCUGAGAAGACCUGUGCGGCAUAAGCUCUUCCCCCUCUGGAACGACCCCUUUCAUGAGCUGCAAACAAAUGUAAGGCAGGAUCACAUCAGAUAAACAAUGCAAGUUUCCUUUCAAUAAAAAACAUGGCAAGUCAUACACAUUAACAUAAAGUCAACCAGGCAUAUAAACCAAAAUUACUUCUCUAGAGAAAGAGAAAAGAUAAAGAUCAAAUCUCAUCUUAGUAUUCCUCCCAAAUGGAAGUCCUAAUAUAUCACUAUCAUGUUUACCUUAUAUACAAGGUUUGAACUAUGUUGAAACUGUAAUGCAAAUUUGCUAUUAGUUUGCAACCUUUGCCACAGAAACUUUAGCAAAAACAUACUUGCAUGAGCACACUAGAUGAAAUAUUUAAAUCAAAUGUAUGCUGAGUAUGCAGGAUUUUAUUCUGAUAGUUUAAUUAUUAUUUUGAAACAACAUGGCAAUUAUUUACUGAAACAGUACCUUCCAGUCUUCGAAAUCAAAUCGGAAGACAAAGUGGUUGUAGACAACUUCUCCUGAAGCAACAGCACUAGCGGCAGGUGCGUUCCUUGGAUCUGUUCAGUCAAUAGAAUUAUAUCAGACAUACCAAUAACAAACUACAGAAUAUCCAUGAUAUUACAGCAACAAAGCAGUGGCCAUGCAACAGAGUCCUUACAGAUAAUAUGAUGCCCCUCAUCAUUCACAUUGAUUUCAACUCUGCCAUCUUUCACUAGAAACGACAAGGCAAAGACAUUCUCCACUGUUUGGGCGAAUGAUGUCCUGUUUAAAACAAGGUGUUCCAGCCUGGCAUUUUUCUUUCUCCUCAGAAGGUUAAAUAUAGCAGACAUAUUCUUAUCAGUAUCACUCUUUGUUUUCACUGUGGGGUCCACAAGCUGCAGAUUAAGAGUGAGUAGAUUGUAAGAAGUUGGUAAUGAUCUGUAGAAAAGUUGGAAAGAAUUUUGAAUGUUACAAACAUCUAUGUCCAAAAUAAUAACUAUGGUCUCCAUCUUAAUGCAUCCAUCACAAAAUGAUAGCAAAAUAAAACUGAUAAUGAUCUUGUGGUUCCAAUAUAGUUCACAGCUAUUUUGUGCAAUAUAAUCAUAUUGUGAUAAAGAGUUUGUUGGUACAAGUAGAAACACCAAACCUGAGAUUAGCUAUUUACUUAACAGAUACAUGUGGAACGCCAGAAUACAAACAUAAAGAUGAAGAAAUUUGACGGGGCUCUAGAAUUUGCAGUCAUGUCAAAGGAAAUAUGGAUUUGAUUGUAGACCUCGCUAAAUUCAUCCCUGUAUCAGCAUGACAUUCAUAGUGCAGUAAAUAAACAGACCUGUAUUUUUUUGACAGAAAUUACCCACAAUGCUAUGGUGGCAAUGUUUUGAUAUUUUUGACUACAUGUGAGCCAUGGUAGCAAUGCUAUGCUACCCAUCUUACUGUGAAGAAAAUAUGAUGCCUACCACAUCAGCAUACCCAGUAAACCAGUGCAAAGUUCUGCUCAUUACUGCCAUUAAAUUAACCACACAGAAGUGCACCUGUUCAGGACGAGCACUUCCACGAGGUCUUGCAGUCCUCUUUUUUCUAAUACAAACCCUUCGCGGCUUCACUUCUGUCUUCAUAGGGCCAACCCUAUCAAAACAGAAACAAUAUUUCAAGUCCUUGGAAAUUGCAACCAUCAAAGGUAAACUCAAAAAAACAGUGGAUUCCCAUUACAUGGUGGCACAUCCAGCAGCGUUCAUGAAAACAUGAGAGGCAGCACGCCCAACACGAGCCCAGUCCAACGAGGCAUGCUCAUCAUCAGGACCCCUUUGCUUUCCAAACUUCUUCAGCAGUCCAGCAACGAAAUCAGAAGGCGUGAUUCCCAGAACUGAAUGGGACCUUACUGAUGUUACCAAACUGGUGGCAAGGUCCAGCAGGGCUUCUGCAUCAGCUAUCUGCUCCCUUGGCCUCUGGACUGGAGCACAGAGACACCACUGUUGCUGUUAGUAAUUAAGUUGGAACCUGCCCCUAGCAUCAGCAAUCGGUAGAAUAGUACCCUCUGAUGCCAAAGGCAGUGAAAGUUCAACGAGAAAUAAACUUGAUAUUAUCAUAACUGAACAUCUUGGCAUGGCAGAAGACUAUGUGUAUUAUCCAACAUGUUUCAAGUUUCAAUUCCAUGCUUCUUAAAAACCUACUGAUAAGAUGGCAUGUGCUAGUACUGCAUUGAAAGAGGUCAACUGGCCAGCAAAAAUGGCAUAAUGUUCCCCUCUGUUACCUAAUAUUUUCCAAAUUACAGUUGCAUAUUUCUUCUUCUAAAUAAAAAUGUAGCAUCCAUCUCAGCGACUCAUUGACAAACCAUGCAGCCAUUAAACAACAUCAACGCAAAAAUAGAUGAUUGCAGGCCAUUGGAGCGAAUUUUCACGUAAUAAAAAGCAACAUAUUUAAAAUUCGUUACUGAAAUAAACCAUCCACACACAUGUUGACUGGCAGAACUUGAUGCCUUAAACAGUACGACCAUCUCAGCGACUCAUUGACAAAGGAUGCAGUGGUCAUGCAACAUUAAUGCAAAAUAGAUUAACUUUGUAGAAGAGUACAUUAAUAAAACGCAGACAUGAGACAUUGGAGCGAGCUUUCGCGCAAUAAAAAGCACCACAUGCAAAAUUCACUGCUGAGAUAAACCAUCCAACGGACAGCUCAGGAAAACACACGCACACAUGUUAACUGACAGAAAAAUUGGUGCCUUCCGAAACUGCAGGGGACGAAAUCGCCACCCAAAACCAAAAAUUGCCCGGCGGGCCAGCGAAAGGGGAUGUCCUUACCUUGCUGGUGCAGGCUCUCCACCUUGUUGAUGAUGGAGAGGAAAUUUUCGGAGUCCGCGCUCGCCAUAUCAUCCUUCUCAUCUGCGCACGACACAAACAUACCCCCAAAAUCAAACUCAACCAAACAACCAAACCGCGAUCAGGAACCAAUGCCGCGAGUUUCGCGCCCCCUACCGCUGAUGAGGCUCUUCACGGCGAGGUACUGUGACCGCAGCAGCCGCCGAUCGUCCACCGCCUGGGGCCCCUCCUGCUGCUGCUGCGGCUGCGGCGUCACCGGCUCCGCCUCCUCGCCGCGGCCCCCCGCUCCCACCGCCUCCGCCUCCGGCAUUGCGAGGGAAGCCCUUCGAAUUCCCAAACCCUAGCGACCCCAACGAGAGCGAGAGGGGAAGAAAGCUGUUGGUGGGGGGCUUGGAGGAUACGGAGGCGGGUGGGGUGCUGAGGAAGGAAGGGGAACGGCGAAGGCGGAGGAGGUGGGGCGGGGGUAUUUGAAACCACCGCUCCCUCUCCGAAACCGCCAGAAAUAUCUACGCGGCUCGCUCAACUGAUCUGUGGGUCCCGUAUGCGAGGUCUCCGGUUAAGGCCCAGUGUCAGUGGGUUUACAGGUGGAUUUGGUGGGUGGGCUUCUCGUAGGGGAAGCCCCGCUCGGAUUCGAAAAGGUAGGAGAGUUUCGGGAGAGAAUUGCGUGAGCCGCGUGGGCAGCGUGGGCGCGGUCUAGGUGGGCAAGGGUCUUGAGACCCGUGGGGUAGAGCCGUGGACCAGGUUGUCAGUGGGUUUUCGGUCUAUGGACGCGGUCUGCUUUCUCGGACUGGCCUGGCUUCUAGGUUCCCGACGGCGCCUCUGCCGCCGUGCUGCGUCUGUUCGUGUUUUACCGUUGCCGCCCGGCGCGGCGCUCGCGGUAAAAAUUUGGGGCGAGUUAGAAUUUUUGUCGCCGCUGCUGAUGCUUCGUUUGCUUGGUGACCUUUUUGCCGCGGUUGUUUCUUUGCCCCCGGUAGAAUACGAAACUAAGGGUGUUUUGGAUACGAAGUGUUAAACUUUAACAGUGUCACAUCAGAUGUUCGGAUGCUAAUUAAGAGAACUAAACAUGAGCUAAUUAUAAAACUAAUUGUAGAACCCUGUGUUAAUUCGCGAGACGAAUCUAUUAAGCCUAAUUAAUCCAUCAUUAGCAAAUGGUUACUGUAGCACCACAUUGUCAAAUCAUGGACUAAUUAGGCUUAAUAGAUUCGUCUCGCGAAUUAUACUCCAUCUGUGCAAUUAGUUUUGUAAUUAGCCUAUGUUUAAUACUCCUAAUUAGCACCCAAACAGCCGAUGUGACGGGUGUUAAACUUUAACAGCUGGUUGCCACAGGCCCUAAGAAGAGUGGAGAAACAAAAGGCGAAAUUCGAUGGGUCGAGGACUUAAAGAGGCGAAAACAAAAAUCACGACACAAUCAGGGCCUGUUUGGCUCCACCCGGUUAAAGUUUAACACCAGUCACAUCGGAUGUUUGGAUGCUAAUUAGGAGUAUUAAAUAUAGACUAAUUACAAAACUAAUUGCACAGUUGGAGUAUAAUUCGCGAGACGAAUCUAUUAAGCCUAAUUAGUCCAUGAUUUGACAAUGUAGUGCUACAGUAACCAUUUGCUAAUGGUGGAUUAAUUAGGCUUAAUAGAUUCGUCUCGCGAAUUAGCACAGGGUUCUGCAAUUAAUUUUAUAAUUAACUCAUAUUUAGUUCUUCUAAUUAGCAUCCGAACAUCCGAUGUGACACUGUUAAAGUUUAGCACCUCGUAUCCAAACACCCCCUCAAUCGAGCUGCUCUGCGGGGUUCGAUUUGACCAAUGUUUGACACCCCGACCCGACUAGAGUGUUGGCAAUCGAUAAGGACCAUAGUUUCAAAAGUGUUCAUACUAUUUUUUUUUAAAAAAAAUCCAUACUCCUAUCUCACAAUUAAAUGGAAUUAUGUGAAUUAUAUCCGCUGGCUGCACACUUGUGUUAACGAAAUGAAUCUAGCUUCCAAGAAAUCGUUGUGAGAAUGGAAAGUUUUAUCGAGGUAGCUGUCGUGCUCUGCCAAAUAUUUGACUACUGGGUGGUAGAACCCAAGUCCUUUCAUAUGUAAAACGAGCCAAGCAUGCCAAAUUUUGAGUGCGCGCUUGGUUGCUGGCCUCAAGCUGCCACGCCGAACCUGCGGCGUCAAAAAUCAGCGCCACGCCCAUAGCGUCAAAAACAACUGCGAAAUACCAUGGCAGCCAAAGGAUAGCAGUGAACCAAGCAGUGACCUCCAAUUAAUGUGACUGUUGCACCGGUGGCGUGACGCGUUGCGGCUGGCAACCAAACAUUUCCUGAGUCAUAUGGCAUUGUUUGGACUCGAAAAAAAUGCAAUUACUAGCACUCAAUUAGUGGCAACUAAAAAUUAGGCAGUGGACAACUGAGCUAAGUCCAUCAUGAUUCAUGAGGUCCCAUAUUUUUUUUAGGAACAGGAGGGGCAGAGCCCCAACAGCCUCAUAAUCUGCAUUGUGUCUCGCAACUAAUGAAAUUACAUGAGUUUCUACGGCAGAUGCCGAUCGAGAUGGCACGACAAGCAACUAAAGACCGUGUCCUCAGACUUAAAGUUGGUCACACGCAUCAUGUUUUAGGGCCUGUUUGGCUCACUAGUGUUAAAGUUUAACACCCGUCACAUCGGAUGUUUGAAUGCUAAUUAGGAGUAUUAAACAUAGGCUAAUUAUAAAACUAAUUGCACAGAUGGAGUGUAAUUCGCGAGACGAAUCUAUUAAGCCUAAUUAGUACAUGAUUUGACAAUGUGGUGCUACAGUAACCAUUUGCUAAUGAUGGAUUAAUUAGGCUUAAUAGAUUCGUCUCGCGAAUUAGCAUAGGGUUCUGCAAUUAGUUUUAUAAUUAGCUCAUAUUUAGUUCUCCUAAUUAGCAUCCGAACAUUCGAUGUGACACUGUUAAAGUUUAACACCUGGUAUCCAAACACCCCCUUAAACAAGUUCUGAUGGGAAUGUUCUAGACAAGUUGGCACAAGCAUGGACGGUCUGACAACUGACAUAUAUAGCCACAUCGUUCUGCGCCAAAAGAUUUGAUGGCUCCAUAGCCAGCCACGAAACGUGAAUGUACUACCAGUGGGUUUACCGGUUUAUUAGACUAAUAGGGGGUAGCGUUAUGUCCCACACUAGUGGAUGUGCAUGUGCCACAGGCACGUGUAUAAUUAGAACAUGACAAAUAAUUGUUACUAAUAAGAUAGAAUUAACAAUUGUGUGGAUUUAAACAAUUGCAUCGGCUAUGCAUAAGUUAUUCAGCAGCGGGGCUAAUAUCCAAAUGUAUGGAUUCAAUCAUAUUUAUAGAUACGAGAUACGGUAGCACGGCAACCAUUUAGUUAAUUUAGUAGCCCAAGUCACAUUAGAUGUUUGGAUGCUAAUUAGGAGUACUAAAUAUAGGCUAAUGAUAAAAAUAAUUGCAUGAAUGAGGACUAAUUCACGAGAUGAAUCCAAAAUCCUAAUCAAUCCAUGAUUAGAACAUGUGAUGCUACAGUAAACAUGUGCUAAUUAUGGAUUAAUUAGGUUUAAUAGAUUCGUCUCGUGAAUUAACCCUCGUAUUAGGGUUUAGGGUCUAACAUCAUAAUAAAUCAAGAAUUACAAAACUAACAUACCUCAUGACUCCAAGACAUCCAUGUAGAUAAUAUUCUUUGUUCCUUUUCUAGUAGGAUCUAUAUCCUUAUUUUUUCUAGCAAGAACCCACGUUGUCUUACAAGAAACACCUCUAGAUAGUGCUACAUACAGCUGCCCAUGAGAAAAGACAGUCUCGGGGAGGUAGAUACCUACAUUUGGUAUUGUCUGACCUGCGCCUUGUUAAUGGUCAUUGCGAAGCUCAAGCAGAUGGAAAACUGCUUGCGCUUAAACUUGAACGGUAGGGACAGAUCUUCGGAAGGAGACAUUGGUAUCCUGGGUAUGAAUACCCUUUCUCCUGCAUGUUGGCCAUUAACAAUCUCAGCAUCGAUAGAAUUUUUCUGAAAUCCUCUCACAAUUAGUUGGGUGCCAUUACAAAGGCCAUUGUCAGGAUCAAGAUUUCGAAGUAGGAUAACAGAGCAGUUCUUCUUUCACAAGCUCAUGUGGAGGCAACCCAUUUGGUGUGAUUGAAUUGAGAAAGUCUAAGGGGUAAUUAUUCCGUGGGUCAUUCUCUACCGAGUCAAAAUUGUAGUACACCAUUUUACUACCGGGGAACCUGAUAUGAACCCGCUAGGGUUGAUUCCCGAUCUUUCGAUGAGAGGCGUGGAUAACUCGAUUGGUGGAUGGAGACGACGUUCACGGCCCGACUACAGCCUUCCAAGCUGCGCCUUAGCAACCGAUACACCACCUCCAAUGGCUGCCGCGAUCUUGUGGAGCGCGUCACCCGGCCACUAGGGCAAUCGUCCUGCAAGCAAUCGAAGAACAAGCAAGAACAAGUAGAACAAGCAACUCAAUUGCAAAUAUGGAGAUGAAAACCAAUCUGAAAUCACAAAUUUGGGGUUCCGAAUCGAGUAGAACGGAUGGUCUAGUUGACACACGCGUCUACAAGGAAGUAGCAAUGGCUAAACUUACAUCAAAACAAAACCCAAUCUGUUCGUGGCGGCUCUAAUCCUUAUUAAUACCUAGGAGGACGACCAGGGGGGUGUUGGGGUCGUGCUCCAACCCUAGGACACGUCCCUAAUGGACCCAACUUGAUACACGGCCCAUCGGGCCAAAAUAGGGCGACGCAGCACCUGUGGACAGAAAACCUCUCGGUAGUAUUUCGAUGAUUGCGGCCGCCUCAGAAUAGAUAUGGACAUGAGUCCGGAUCCAUAUAAAAAUAGACUUCAUAAGUAUUCCAAGGAGUACUUGAACGCCCAAAACGGAGUCCGGAUGAGGUCGUGGCGGUCGUUGCAAGUUGGGCCAGAACUGUAGUCCGAAUCCAGCACCAAAACGUGUUGGAUUGGAUCUCUUUCUUUCCUUGGGCCAAAAGUGACGUGGUGGCCUGGUGGAGGACGUUAGGAAUACUUGGACUUGGCCCCCAAUCUACUUCUUUGGUCCUCCAUGCCUUCCAUGUGUGUUUAACACUAUUUUUGAUCCAUGUAUGUAUUUCUGAAAUUGACAACGAAUACACAUCAUGGUGCAGCAUCAAUUCAUCAAAUGUAUCACAUAUAAUUAUGAUAAAGAAUUGUUUCACCUCGGAGUCAAAAGAUACUAAUAUGGUUGUAUCCGAGCAUGUGAUGUCCUCAUCAUUGCUCUUCAUUAGCAUGCAGGGUGGACAAAUUUUGGACAUUAUGGGUCACAUCAUUAUUGCAAGUAUUCACAGAUAAUAGAAUCUCCUUUUCAGCAUUGAGAGCAAGACAAUACAAUUGAGCAAUAUGCAUGCAUGAUUUGCUAAUUAACAAAGUUCGAAUUUCAGAAUUGAGCCCUCUCAUGAACCUAGUCAUCACAUCUUCCAUGCAUUCAUCUAAUCCACCAUACAUGAUACAAAUUUUAAAAUCAUGGAAGUAUUCUUUCACAGUCCUACUACCUUGCCUCAAGUUGUCUAAUUUAGCAAGCAAAUAAUCAGCAUAAUAUUUAGGAAUGAAUGCAUCUCUAAAAAGAAAUUUGAAGUCUUCCCAAGAUUCUAGAACUUUGUUGUGCCUACAAAUGCGUUUCCAUUCAAGCAUUAGUGCAUUCACUACAUCCACGUGCUCAUUCCUAGUGGAAAGGAUUGCACGCUCGCGCAUGUAGGCUGCAGAUGUACAAUUAACAUCAAGGUUCAGGAAUACGUGGUCAAUAAGCGUAUCAAUACAGAUGUCUUCUGAAGGGCUAUCAAUCAGAAUAUCAUCAGGCAACUGCAUAUAGUCAUCACCAAAUAUUUCCUCAGUGUCGUUACCGAUCCUCAGCAGAUAAUCUACAAACCAUGUGUCUGAUUGUGCUCUCAUGUUCUGGGUUAGUCGUAUACGCCGAACACUUUCCCAUAUGUAUGACCUAAGCAAAGUAACAUCUGCGAUUUGUGCUCUUGUACCAUGCGACACGACAGGAAGAACCUGUCUGAAGUCACCUCCAAACAACAUGACCUUACCACCAAAUGGCUGCGUACACUCCAUUAUAUCCUGUAGUGUCCAGUCUAGUGCCUCAACUGCCUGUCUCUUAGUCAUUGCUACCUCAUCCCAAAUUAUCAUAGAUGCUCUCCUAAGCAUUUUGGCUAUCCCACUCUACUGAGUAAAACUACACAUAGUGCGUCCACCAGGCAUGAUGGAUGCUGCUGUACUAGAUGUUACUGUAGCAAUGGCAAUAAGAUCCAUAGAGUGCACCUUUGCAAGCAAUGCUUUAUAUAGAUAGGUUUUAUCGGUGCCUCUGGGACCAUCCACAAAGAAAACCUAUCCCUUGCCCUUCAUAACAUGGUCAAGUAUGUCCUCGAAACCUGCCCUUUGUUCUGCAUUAAGCGUAUCUAUGAUCUCCAGGUGUUUCUCUUCAUAACCGAGAUUCUGCUCCUCUGUAAGCUCUCUGUAAUGGUCUCUAGAGCGUUGAUUGUCUGCACACACAAGGAAAUUUUGGAAUGUUAUAACCAAUUGUACAAAUGACGUGCAAAAUUCAAAGACAAUUAAUUUUUUUCCAUACAAAUAUUAGAACAAACUAACCUGACUCAUGUAGUUUUGGAAGACCAUAGUGCCUAAUGUCUUUCCCCAAGGAUGUUAGAUGGUAUGAAAUAUCACGGAGCACCAUCUGCUCAACCAUAGUGUAGUUGUCAUUAGUACAUCGGAAAUCCUCAGCCAAUGAUUCAUAAUGCUUGUCCUAAAGAUGGCAUAUGUCGGCACACUCACAGAAAACCAUAAUAGUGGCAAAAAGCCUGUGGAAAGAAGAAGGAAACCUGACCAUGGCACAUUCAGUCAGACACUCAUCUAAUGACUUAUCAAUAUCUACAAACUCCGUGGCUUCGACAGCUGCUCUAAAAGUCUCAUAUGUAAUACCACACCAUGUUUUGAGGUUCUCAUAUGAGGUUGCACCUCUCACAUGGUUCAGCAGCACCCAAAGGUAGUAUCUAUCACCUUCACGUGGAUUUGCAUAUACCAAUCUACCAAUCUGAAGCCUGUUUUUUGCAACUCUAGAUUUCCAAAAAUUUCCAGAUUUGUUCCACGUGAAGUACUCUGGAAACUCUUUGUACAGGUAUUGGCAGGCCUUAGGAUUGGACAUGUUCAUCUUGAAGUACUCAGUUAGCAUUGACCUUUGGGAUUUCUGACACUCCACAACAUCUUUCAGGUUGUUUGUUGACUUGUAGGCAACCAUGUGCAUACCAGGAAGGUGUACUUGCAUCUGUAGGACAGGCGGCUAGAUUGAAUACAACUUAAAACCAAACAACCUGUAGACCGCUUCUAUAGUUGUUAUUAUCCUUGCAUCACGGUACUGCUUGAUCUCUUUGAUUACCACAUGCUCAUUUCCUUUUGCAUCAACAAUAAACGAUGCUCGAUCAUGACCUUUAUAAAUGUAUUUGUAUAGAUAUUUAACUGAUGCUGCUACAAAUCUCAAUAUUGAUAUGGCAGUUAUACCUCAUAAGGAGCACUGGGUUAUAAGGAACCACCCAUCUGUUAUCCAAUUCCUCUCCCCUAACCUUCACUUUUGACCCAUCUUCCCGCCUUCUAUACAUUGGAUAUGUGUCCUUUCCUAGUUGUGUCAUUUCACUGAACUGCCAAGGAUAGCGAAAAUGACACUGCCCAUCGACCAUGCAUGGACAAUCUUUAUUGAGAGUUGCACAAGGACCGUGCAUCAUAUGCUUGGCUACAAGCGGGUGCAACUUAGGAUAUUUCUUUGGGUCAGGAAUUUCUGCUGAUAUGUACCUAUCAUCAGGGCUCUUUAACUUGGCUAAAGAUGCCGGGCAUGAAAGAAUACGUUGAACUGGCCUUCACGAAUCUACAGCUUGUAGCACUUGUAUUCCCUCGCACUAACAUAAAGAUGUGAUCCUCUGGUGUCUAAAACAAAUAUAUAUGUUAACACAUUAGGUAAAACAAUCUAUUUUCCAUCUUUUCAACAUUUUUCUAUUAGAUGCGGAUGAUUUGAAACUAUACCUAGCCCCUCAACAUCACUGUACAUGUUUUCCUCAUUAUCAUUAUCAUGCUCACCUCCUGUAAAAGUAUGGAAAACUGAAUCGUCAUCUUACCUUUCAAUCUUAGAUUUCUGAACUAUAUAAUAUGGCCUAUCAGCAUAACACACCUUCCUCUUUCAUGAAGUCACCAUAUGCAGUGUCAUCUGCUUCAUCAAUAGGCAGAUCUAUGAAACAAAAAAAUGUUUACAAACACAAUGAGUGAAGUGCAUAUGAAAGCACAUGAAAAAUGUUGCAUACCAUGAGUAGCUCUUUUUUUAUGUCCUUGAAUAACACAGUGGUUAUUGUUUGGUCGAUCACCCACAUCGACUUUAGUUCCAUCUAUGUUAUAACAUAUUUCAUGAAAUUUCAUAUAGUGGGAGCAAUAAAUUUAUGGAUUAAGUAAGAAACAAAUGUUAAAUGUGCAUACCUUUCCUCUUACGCUUUGUAUACUUCCGCUUUAGCUUUGAUGGUGGUGGAUCUCGAAACUCUAUCGUCUUGUCCUCCCAGCCAACCUCACCACCAAAAAAAAA
This 16235-nucleotide long non-coding RNA is filed under the name Setaria viridis. RNAcentral's name for it is "long non-coding RNA (SVIR_LNC004966)". The record is from RNAcentral. Lineage: Eukaryota; Viridiplantae; Streptophyta; Magnoliopsida; Poales; Poaceae.